This is a non-coding RNA of Pimephales promelas (fathead minnow), 371 nucleotides long. The record is from RefSeq and is a predicted model, not a curated record. NCBI's taxonomy places the organism in Eukaryota, Metazoa, Chordata, Actinopteri, Cypriniformes, Leuciscidae.
AUGGCAGCAUUUGUUUUAGGGAUUUUACUCAAAUAUAAAGAUCUGAAAUGUCUGCAGACUGGUGUGAGCACUGAGGAUGAGGAGCCUAGAGCUGCAUCCUGGAAGUGGUGCCAUGGAUGAGACGCUCCAUCUGUCCACCUGCCCUUACAAGACCCUCUAUCUCUCCACCUGCCCUUAUUGCCUCAGAUUGUGAAGCGCAGCGCAGCAACAAGCUCCGGGACGAAGGCACAGUCCCCUCUGGUGAAUUCAUCAGAAUAAAGCCGCAGAAUGGGAACCGCUGUGUUGAGUCGGCAGUAGGUUAUGGUGUUCAGCCCUGUAAAUACAUGUUUGUAGUUUGAAUAAAGCUUUGUUUCAUGUGUUGUUGACUUGUA